Molecule: RNA transcript, 3080 nt
Organism: Sapajus apella (tufted capuchin)
Lineage: Eukaryota; Metazoa; Chordata; Mammalia; Primates; Cebidae
Gene name: ribonucleoside-diphosphate reductase subunit M2 pseudogene
Exons: 1
Source: RefSeq, a predicted model, not a curated record
GACAAAAUUCACCCAUUCUCACUUAUUUGUGGGAACUAAAAAUUAAAACAAUUUAACUCAUGAAGAUAUAGAGUAGGAGAAUUGUUUGCAGCUGCUGGCAAAAGUAGUAUGGAGGAUGAGAGGAGUAAGGGGUGAUGGUUAAUAGGUGCACACAUUUGGUUAGAAAGAAUAAAUAACGCCCUGUGCCCCUUCCCAGCCUCCCGGCCCAAUUGCCAGCUCUCCUUCCUCGCACCGCCACCAUGCUCUCCGUCUGCGUCCUGCUUGCGUCCAUCACGGACCUGCAGCAGCUGCAGCUCUCGCCGCUGAAGGGUCUCAGCCUGGUAGACAAGGAGAACACGCCCCCAGUGCUGAAUGGGACCCGCGUCCUGGCCAGCAAGACCGCGAGGAGGAUAUUCCAGGAACCCGCUAAGCCAAAAACUAGAGCAGCCGCCCCUGGCGUGGAGGAUGAGCCGCUGCUAAGAGAAAACCCUCGCCGCUUUGUCAUUUUCCCCAUCGAGUACCACAACAUCUGGCAGAUGCAUAAGAAGGCGGAGGCCUCCUUCUGGACCGCUGAGGAGGUAGACCUGUCCAAGGACAUUCGGCACUGGGAAUCCCUGAAGCCUGAGGAGAGAUACUUUAUAUCUCACGUUCUGGCUUUCCUUGCAGCAAGUGAUGGCAUAGUAAAUGAAAACUUGGUGGAGCGAUUUAGCCAAGAACUUCAGAUUACAGAAGGCUGCUGUUUCUAUGGCUUCCAAAUUGCCAUGGAAAACAUACAUUCUGAAAUGUAUGGUCUCCUUAUUGACACUUACAUAAAAGAUCCCAAUGAAAGGGAAUUUCUCUUCAAUGCCAUUGAAAUGAUGCCUUGUGACAACAAAAAGGCAGAUUGGGCCUUGCGCUGGAUUGGGGACAAAGAGGCUACCUAUGGUGAACGCGUUGUAGCCUUUGCUGCAGUGGAAGGCAUCUUCUUUUCUGGUUCUUUUGCAUCCAUAUUCUGGCUCAAGAAAUGAGGACUGAUGCCUGGCCUCACAUUUUCUCAUGAACUUAUUAGCAGAGAUGAGGGUUUACACUCACAUUUUGCUUGCCUGAUGUUCAAACACCUAGUACACAAACCAUCAGAGAGAGUAGGAGAAAUAACUAUCAAUGCUGUUCGGAUAGAACAAGAGUUUCUUACUGAGGCCUUGCCUGUGGAGCUCAUUGGGAUGAAUUGCACUCUAAUGAAGCAAUACAUUGAGUUUGUGGCAGACAGACAUGCUGGAACUGGGUUUUAGCAAGGUUUUCAGAGUAGAGAAUCCAUUUGACUUUAUGGAGAAUAUUUCACUGGAAGGAAAGACUAACUUCUUUGAGAAGAGAGUAGGCGAGUAUCAGAGGAUGGGAGUGAUGUCAAGUCCAACAGAGAAUUCUUUUACCUUGGGUGCUGAUUUCUAAAUGAACUGAAGAUGUGCCUUUAUUUUGCUGAUUUUUUUUUCCAUCUCAUGAAAAAAUCAGCCGAAGUGUUACCAACUAGCUACACCAUGCAUUGUCCAUGAUGUUCAUUAACAUCAUCUUUAAAACUGUAGCUACCUCACAGCCAGUCCUGUUUAUUUAUAAUGCUGGUGCUAUCACCUUUUGCUAGCAGGCUGGCUGGCUGUGACUUACCAUAGUCUUCUUGGCUUUAAAAUGAGGGGUGAGCUUCUAGUGAGCUUGACACAGCAGGAUUAAACAUUUCAUUUAACCAGCACAGGCAGUGGAAAGAUGCAGUCUCACUGCUUCAAUGCAGAUUUUAAUGUUUACUUAAGUAUAAAACUGGCACUUUACAAAUAAACAUUGUUUGUACUCAAAAGAUGAUAAUAGCUUGAUUUAUUUGGUUUCUACACCAAACACAAAGCAUUCUCCUGACCACUAACAGGAGCCAAUUCACAAUUCACUAAGGGACUAAAGUAAGUUAAACUUGUAUAGACUCAGCAUGUAAUUCUAACUUUUAUUUUAAUGAAUUAAAAUACUCAUUAACCAACUUUAAAGUCAAUACUGUGUAUAGCUAGAUAUUAGUCUGUUAGUGCCAGAUACAAGAUGGGUUGUGUGUUUCCCCUGUGGCUUGGAUAGUGUUCUGGGAUUCUCUGCCCCAUCUGAGUAGAGUGUUGUGGGAUCAAGGAAUCUCUCAGGGCAAGGAGCUUCUUAAGUUAAAUCCCUAGAAAUUUAGGCAUGAUCUGGGCCUUCAUAUGGGUGAGAAGCCGUUUCAUUUUAUUUGUCACUGUAGUUUCCCCAACUUCUAGUUGAUAAGAUUCUUGAAGAGUUUUCAUAUGUGGGAGCUGUGGUAGUAUUGUAAAAUUUCAAAUCAUCCUUAAACAAAAUGACCCACCUAAGAUCUUGCUCCUGUUAAGCGGCAAAAUUGUUGUUUAUUCUAGUUUUGUUUGUAUGUAAGUAGGUUGUGUGAGUUAAUUCAUUUAUAUUUACUAUGUUUUUUAAAUUAGAAACUUUUAAAUUAUACAUGUCCUUUUUUAGAUUUUGCUGUAGUUCAUACUUUGAAAUAAUUGCCCAGUGUCUUAUUUUAGCAUUGCCUAAAUCUGACCAUCAUCAAGGGGAAUCUUAAGCUUCAGUAGGAAACCAUGAGUUAUAAAUACAGUUUCCAUUCAAAUAUUCAUUUCGUAAGAAAACUAAUAUUCUUAAUAGGGCUACUUUGAAUUAAUCUGUCUUUAUGUUUGAGAGAAAAGAAAACCUGUGUUUAUAUUUAGGAGAAGCCAUGAGUUAUUAAUACAGUUUCCAUUCAAAUAUUAAUUUCAGAAGGAAACAAACAAAUAUUUUUAAUAGGGCCACUUUGAAUUAAUCCGCCUUUAUGUUUGAGAGAAAAAAGCUGAGACAUUGCUUGAAAGAUGAUGCAAGAUAAAUGUUGACCUUUUGCCCCCAUUUGUUAAUUGUAUUCACUAUUUGAACAUUGUUGUGUUCUGUUGUUAGGUUUCAUCAUUUAUUGUAUAGUUAAUUUUUAAAUCUCUGUAUACCUUUCCCUAGCUUUUAAGUUAUUGUUACCUAAAGUUAAUGAAUCCAGAUUAUAUGGUCCUUAUACUUAUAUAACAUUAAAAUAAAGAAAGGCUUUGCCUUGCAUUGUGGGAUACAGGCAGAAGUUAGAA